This 253-nucleotide ribosomal RNA is filed under the name uncultured bacterium. RNAcentral describes it as "partial 16S ribosomal RNA". It matches the Rfam family "Bacterial small subunit ribosomal RNA", at positions 524 to 776 of the family's 1533-position model. The record is from RNAcentral.
UACAGAGGGUGCAAGCGUUGCUCGGAAUUACUGGGCGUAAAGCGUGAGUAGGCGGCCUGUCAAGUGGGGUGUGAAAGCCCUGGGCUCAACCCAGGAACUGCGCUCCAGACUGUCAGGCUUGAGUGCCGGAGAGGGUGGUGGAAUUCCCGGUGUAGAGGUGAAAUUCGUAGAUAUCGGGAGGAACACCAGUGGCGAAGGCGGCCACCUGGACGGACACUGACGCUGAGUCACGAAAGCGUGGGGAGCAAACAGG